ACAUGUCUUUUUGGUUAUUUAAUAUAAAGUCUGACCUGCCCACUGAAUAUAGUUUUAAAGGGCCGCAGUAUUUUGACUGUGCAAAGGUAGCAUAAUCAUUAGUCUUUUAAUUGAAGGCUGGUAUGAAUGGUUGGAUGAGGUACAAGCUGUGUCAUAAAAAUUAAUAUUUGAAUUUACCUUUUUAGUCAAAAGGCUAAAAUUUUAUUAAAAGACGAGAAGACCCUAUAGAGCUUUAUAUAAUUAAUAUUUAGAUUAUUAAUAUUUUUUAAAUUUAAUUAUUUUAUUAUAUUUUGUUGGGGUGACAAUAAAAUUUAUAAAACUUUUAUUAUUAUUAUUCAUUAAUUUAUGUUUAAAUGAUCCAAUUUUAUUGAUUAUAAAUUUAAGUUACCUUAGGGAUAACAGCGUAAUUUUUUUUGAGAGUUCUUAUCGACAAAAAAGAUUGCGACCUCGAUGUUGGAUUAAGAGUAAUUUUGGGUGUAGAAGUUCAAAAUUUAAGUCUGUUCGACUUUUAAAUUCUUACAUGAUC
This 526-nucleotide ribosomal RNA is filed under the name Simulium nobile. RNAcentral describes it as "partial 16S ribosomal RNA". It matches the Rfam family "Bacterial large subunit ribosomal RNA", at positions 1815 to 2605 of the family's 2925-position model. Lineage: Eukaryota; Metazoa; Arthropoda; Insecta; Diptera; Simuliidae. The record is from RNAcentral.